GUCUAUGACCAUGCCACCCUGAACAAGCCCAAUGUCUGAUCUCAGAAGCUAAGCAAAGUCAGGCCUGGUCAGUACUUGGAUGGGAGAUCACCUAGGAAGACCAGGUGCUGUAGGCA
RNAcentral lists this ribosomal RNA (116 nucleotides) under Pteropus alecto (black flying fox). The record is from RNAcentral. Lineage: Eukaryota; Metazoa; Chordata; Mammalia; Chiroptera; Pteropodidae.